CUGGCUCAGGAUGAACGCUAGCUACAGGCUUAACACAUGCAAGUCGAGGGGCAUCAUGACGAUAGCUUGCUAUUGUCGAUGGCGACCGGCGCACGGGUGAGUAACGCGUAUCCAACCUUCCCCUUAGUAGGGCAUAGCCCGGCGAAAGUCGGAUUAAUACCCUAUGUUAUUCGUAGAGGACAUCCGAAAUGAAUCAAAGAUUAAUCGCUAAGGGAUGGGGAUGCGUCCGAUUAGGUAGUCGGCGGGGUAACGGCCCACCGAGCCUUCGAUCGGUAGGGGUUCUGAGAGGAAGGUCCCCCACACUGGUACUGAGACACGGACCAGACUCCUACGGGAGGCAGCAGUGAGGAAUAUUGGUCAAUGGACGGGAGUCUGAACCAGCCAAAGUAGCGUGCAGGACGACGGCCCUAUGGGUUGUAAACUGCUUUUAUACGGGGAUAAAGUCGCCCACGUGUGGGUGUUUGUAGGUACCGUAUGAAUAAGGACCGGCUAAUUCCGUGCCAGCAGCCGC
RNAcentral lists this ribosomal RNA (511 nucleotides) under uncultured bacterium. Its description in RNAcentral is "bacterial SSU rRNA". It matches the Rfam family "Bacterial small subunit ribosomal RNA", at positions 19 to 518 of the family's 1533-position model. The record is from RNAcentral.